RNAcentral lists this ribosomal RNA (427 nucleotides) under uncultured bacterium. Its description in RNAcentral is "partial 16S ribosomal RNA". It matches the Rfam family "Bacterial small subunit ribosomal RNA", at positions 355 to 774 of the family's 1533-position model. The record is from RNAcentral.
UGGGGAAUAUUGCACAAUGGGCGCAAGCCUGAUGCAGCCAUGCCGCGUGUAUGAAGAAGGCCUUCGGGUUGUAAAGUACUUUCAGCGGGGAGGAAGGCGAUAAGGUUAAUAACCUUGUCGAUUGACGUUACCCGCAGAAGAAGCACCGGCUAACUCCGUGCCAGCAGCCGCGGUAAUACGGAGGGUGCAAGCGUUAAUCGGAAUUACUGGGCGUAAAGCGCACGCAGGCGGUUGGUCAAGUCGGAUGUGAAAUCCCCGGGCUCAACCUGGGAACUGCAUUCGAAACUGGCAGGCUAGAGUCUUGUAGAGGGGGGUAGAAUUCCAGGUGUAGCGGUGAAAUGCGUAGAGAUCUGGAGGAAUACCGGUGGCGAAGGCGGCCCCCUGGACAAAGACUGACGCUCAGGUGCGAAAGCGUGGGGAGCAAACA